AGUAACGCGUGGAUAACCUGCCUCAUACAGGGGGAUAACAGUUAGAAAUGACUGCUAAUACCGCAUAAGCGCACAGGACCGCAUGGUCUGGUGUGAAAAACUCCGGUGGUAUGGGAUGGAUCCGCGUCUGAUUAGCUGGUUGGUGAGGUAACGGCCCACCAAGGCGACGAUCAGUAGCCGACCUGAGAGGGUGGCCGGCCACAUUGGGACUGAGACACGGCCCAAACUCCUACGGAAGGCAGCAG
This 245-nucleotide ribosomal RNA is filed under the name uncultured bacterium. RNAcentral's name for it is "partial 16S ribosomal RNA". It matches the Rfam family "Bacterial small subunit ribosomal RNA", at positions 109 to 354 of the family's 1533-position model. The record is from RNAcentral.